Molecule: ribosomal RNA, 305 nt
Filed under: uncultured bacterium
Lineage: Bacteria
Description: bacterial SSU rRNA
Rfam family: Bacterial small subunit ribosomal RNA
Source: RNAcentral
CCUACGGGAGGCAGCAGUAGGGAAUUUUCGGCAAUGGGGGGAACCCUGAUCCAGCGACGCCGCGUGAGUGAAGAAGUAUUUCGGUAUGUAAAGCUCUAUCAGCAGGGAAGAAAGAAAUGACGGUACCUGACUAAGAAGCCCCGGCUAACUACGUGCCAGCAGCCGCGGUAAUACGUAGGGGGCAAGCGUUAUCCGGAUUUACUGGGUGUAAAGGGAGCGUAGACGGCGAUGCAAGUCUGAAGUGAAAGGCGGGGGCCCAACCCCCGGACUGCUUUGGAAACUGUAUGGCUGGAGUGCAGGAGCGG